GACGAACGCUGGCGGCGUGCUUAACACAUGCAAGUCGAACGAUGAACCUCGAAAUGAUUUCUUCGGAAAGAUUUUUGAGAGGAUUAGUGGCGAACGGGUGAGUAACUCGUGAGCAACCUGCCUUAGACAAGGGGAUAGCCUCGGGAAACCGUGAUUAAUACCCUAUGGGACUCCACUUACGAGUGUAAGAGAAGUUAAAGCUAUUGCGGUCUAAGAUGGGCUCGCGUCUGAUUAGCUAGUUGGUGAGAUAAAAGCCCACCAAGGCGACGAUCAGUAACCGGCUUGAGAGAGUGAACGGUCACAUUGGAACUGAGACACGGUCCAAACUCCUACGGGAGGCAGCAGUGGGGAAUAUUGCACAAUGGGGGCAACCCUGAUGCAGCGACGCCGCGUGAGCGAUGAAGGAAUUCGUUUCGUAAAGCUCUGUCCUUGGAGAAGAUAAUGACGGUAACCAAGGAGGAAGCACCGGCUAAAUACGUG
This 480-nucleotide ribosomal RNA is filed under the name uncultured bacterium. Its description in RNAcentral is "partial 16S ribosomal RNA". It matches the Rfam family "Bacterial small subunit ribosomal RNA", at positions 28 to 507 of the family's 1533-position model. The record is from RNAcentral.